Long non-coding RNA from Gadus macrocephalus (Pacific cod), 1422 nucleotides. RefSeq lists it as uncharacterized. The transcript has 6 exons. Lineage: Eukaryota; Metazoa; Chordata; Actinopteri; Gadiformes; Gadidae. The record is from RefSeq and is a predicted model, not a curated record.
AUCUGAAGAGUCAAUCUGGAAAAGCCAAAUUUACCAAUGAGAUAAGGAUAGCCACAGCAAAUAGAAAGUAGCUGUUUGUGGCAGCUUAAACUUAAAUUACAAUUGUACAGUUAUAAUUUCUUAACAUCCAUUCUCUUAAUUAACUUUGUGUUUAGUGUGUACACACCAUAGACAGUGUAUUCAUUUGAUCAUCAAGGUCUCCGUCAUCAGAGAAUUCAGCUUCAAAUGAAGGCCUUGAAUCAAUCUGGAAGCCAGUGGACAAAUAGAGGUUAGCCUAGCUGUAGGGAAUUACUUCGACAAAGUGUCGCAAGGAGGCGCUCUUAUUCCAGUUUUUCUUACCUCCUCGGUCAAACUUGCUGGCCGUUCCUCUGUUCUCAAUUGACUUCUGUACCAUCUUGUAGUUUUUGGCACAGGUAUAGAAAAAUCGGACAAAUAUCGUUUAUAAUUUCGUGACAUUUUGCAGUUAGACGACUGUCAAUGCAGACAAAUUUAAACUGAAAACAACAACUGACCAACUGAAAAAGACAACUGUAAACCCGCGAGCGUCUCACGCGCUGCGAAUGCGGUUGUAAACAUAUGCUACGCAUUCGCAGCGCGUGAGACGUCCGUUGAAUAUUUGACAGUCGAGUCGUGAGUUUUAGUCGUGAGUUUGCUACGGAAAAAUAAAGAAAAUGGCAAAAUAUGCACUAUUUGACUUUCCGGAUGAAGGGGCUGUGGACAUAGGCGAAAUAUCAUGGGUGGUAGGGGAAGUAAAUUUAAAAGAUCCUUUUGUAACGUAUAAAGUUAAUUGGCCAAACAAGGGAAGGAUUGUGUCAUGUCCAGGACGGAUUAUAUCAGUCAGUGACAACAGAGAGGAGUUGGUUUGCAAGAGGAGGCAUUAUCUUGUUGGUGGAGACAAACUGUCGAGCCCGGAGGAGAAAGGGAAGGGGAAAAGGAAGAAACUGAAGAAUGGUCGAUAUUCUGACGACGACGACGACGACAACGACGACGACGACGUAGUAUCGCUGGAUCCUCAGUUAAGUCAAUGUAAGAAGAAGAAGAAGAGAAAAAACACAGGUCUUAACGUCUUAAUGGAACUGGAAAAGCAAGGAUCAUGUCAGCUGAACUCAAUUAAUGAAACCAGGAAUGAAUGCCAUCACCCAUCUUGUGAGCUGUGGAGGGAGAACAACCACAGGCUACAGAAGGAAAAUGAUUCUCUCAAGGCAAAAAUAGCAACAUUGAAAUUGCUGCCAGACGUUUUGCAGAAGAUGGAGGAGUUUCUUCGCUCAGCACCAAGACCAACGACAACACCAAUACCAACACCAACACCAAGACCAAGACCAGAACCAACACUAUCACCAGCACCAACAGCAGUUCCACCAUCAGCAACAGAAGACCCAUCACCAGCACCAGGUCCAUCAUCAGCAUCAGCAACAGAGGCCC